CCCCAUACCGGGGGAUAACAGCUGGAAACGGCUGCUAAUACCGCAUAAGCGCACAGAGCUGCAUGGCUCGGUGUGAAAAACUCCGGUGGUAUGGGAUGGGCCCGCGUCUGAUUAGGCAGUUGGCGGGGUAACGGCCCACCAAACCGACGAUCAGUAGCCGGCCUGAGAGGGCGACCGGCCACAUUGGGACUGAGACACGGCCCAAACUCCUACGGGAGGCAGCAGUGGGGAAUAUUGCACAAUGGGGGAAACCCUGAUGCAGCGACGCCGCGUGAGCGAAGAAGUAUUUCGGUAUGUAAAGCUCUAUCAGCAGGGAAGAUAAUGACGGUACCUGACUAAGAAGCCCCGGCUAACUACGUGCCAGCAGCCGCGGUAAUACGUAGGGGGCAAGCGUUAUCCGGAUUUACUGGGUGUAAAGGGAGCGUAGACGGCAAGGCAAGUCUGAUGUGAAAACCCAGGGCUUAACCCUGGGACUGCAUUGGAAACUGUCUGGCUCGAGUGCCGGAGAGGUAAGCGGAAUUCCUAGUGUAGCGGUGAAAUGCGUAGAUAUUAGGAAGAACACCAGUGGCGAAGGCGGCUUACUGGACGGUAACUGACGUUGAGGCUCGAAAGCGUGGGGAGCAAACAGGAUUAGAUACCCUGGUAGUCCACGCCGUAAACGAUGAA
This 666-nucleotide ribosomal RNA is filed under the name uncultured bacterium. Its description in RNAcentral is "bacterial SSU rRNA". It matches the Rfam family "Bacterial small subunit ribosomal RNA", at positions 129 to 813 of the family's 1533-position model. The record is from RNAcentral.